UACGUAGGUGGCAAGCGUUGUUCGGAAUUACUGGGCGUAAAGCGCACGUAGGCGGAUUGGAAAGUUGGGGGUGAAAUCCCGGGGCUCAACCUCGGAACUGCCUCCAAAACUAUCAGUCUGGAGUUCGAGAGAGGUGAGUGGAAUUACGAGUGUAGAGGUGAAAUUCGUAGAUAUUCGGUGGAACACAAGUGGCGAAGGCGGCUCACUGGCUCGAUACUGACGCUGAGGGGCGAAAGCGUGGGGAGCAAACAGG
RNAcentral lists this unclassified non-coding RNA (253 nucleotides) under uncultured Paracoccaceae bacterium. RNAcentral describes it as "uncultured Rhodobacteraceae bacterium contains 16S-23S intergenic spacer region". It matches the Rfam family "Bacterial small subunit ribosomal RNA", at positions 524 to 776 of the family's 1533-position model. Lineage: Bacteria; Pseudomonadati; Pseudomonadota; Alphaproteobacteria; Rhodobacterales; Paracoccaceae. The record is from RNAcentral.